This is a long non-coding RNA of Ricinus communis (castor bean), 397 nucleotides long. RefSeq lists it as uncharacterized. The record is from RefSeq and is a predicted model, not a curated record. NCBI's taxonomy places the organism in Eukaryota, Viridiplantae, Streptophyta, Magnoliopsida, Malpighiales, Euphorbiaceae. The transcript is spliced from 3 exons.
ACAGUUAUUUCAUUUUGUUAGUAUAUAAUAGGGACAAUAACACUAGAGCCUCUAUCUCUGUUCUUCUUCCUUAACUGGUUGAUAAUGGAACAUCAACCACAGAAACAGCAAGUCAAUGAAAAUAACCAGACUGAAUCAGGGAAGAAGAGAAAACGUUGUUCACCAAUAAUAAAACCAAAGGGGGAAAGAAGCUUUCUUCAAGGAUGCCUCUUUGCUUUGUGCUGUUGUUGGAUAUGUGACAUGUGCUUUGAUACCACUAUUGUGGUAGCAUAAGAGAGACUGCAUAGAGGAGUUUGAGAUAUCAAUAUUAUCUUCACCACCAGGCAUGAUACAUAUAUAUAAGUUGCCUGGUUUUUCAUGUUUAAUUUGUGUUGAAUAAUAUUGUAUUCUUAUGUGA